RNAcentral lists this ribosomal RNA (484 nucleotides) under uncultured bacterium. Its description in RNAcentral is "partial 16S ribosomal RNA". It matches the Rfam family "Bacterial small subunit ribosomal RNA", at positions 30 to 507 of the family's 1533-position model. The record is from RNAcentral.
AUUGAACGCUGGCGGCAGGCCUAACACAUGCAAGUCGAGCGGAUGAAGGGAGCUUUCUCCUGGAUUCAGCGGCGGACGGGUGAGUAAUGCCUAGGAAUCUGCCUCGUAGUGGGGGAUAACGUCCGGAAACGGGCGCUAAUACCGCAUACGUCCUGAGGGAGAAAGUGGGGGAUCUUCGGACCUCACGCUAUCAGAUGAGCCUAGGUCGGAUUAGCUAGUUGGUGGGGUAAAGGCCUACCAAGGCGACGAUCCGUAACUGGUCUGAGAGGAUGAUCAGUCACACUGGAACUGAGACACGGUCCAGACUCCUACGGGAGGCAGCAGUGGGGAAUAUUGGACAAUGGGCGAAAGCCUGAUCCAGCCAUGCCGCGUGUGUGAAGAAGGUCUUCGGAUUGUAAAGCACUUUAAGUUGGGAGGAAGGGCAGUAAGUUAAUACCUUGCUGUUUUGACGGUACCAACAGAAUAAGCACCGGCUAACUUCGUG